GCAACUGUCGUUUAAUGGAAAGAUAAUGGGCUGCUAACCCGUCGAUGCACGUUCGACUCGUGCCAGUUGCU
This 71-nucleotide transfer RNA is filed under the name bacterium. It matches the Rfam family "tRNA". Rfam says of the family: Transfer RNA (tRNA) molecules are approximately 80 nucleotides in length. Their secondary structure includes four short double-helical elements and three loops (D, anti-codon, and T loops). The record is from Rfam by way of RNAcentral.